Molecule: long non-coding RNA, 221 nt
Organism: Hyalella azteca
Lineage: Eukaryota; Metazoa; Arthropoda; Malacostraca; Amphipoda; Hyalellidae
Exons: 3
Source: RefSeq, a predicted model, not a curated record
CGAGACCGUCACCUUGGACGGCCCUGCGCAGACUUGCGGCGCUCGUCAUUGGUUGCGUCGGCUGGUGUGGUUGACGUUCUUGAUUUUGUGCACGGUGUACAGCCUCAUGCAGUGCUACGACGUCUACAAUGAGUACAUAGGGUACCCUAAAGCUGUGGCGGUUCAGCUUCAAACGGAGCGCCCGGCGCAGUUUCCAGCGGUGACUCUAUGCAGCCUGAACC